Molecule: long non-coding RNA, 473 nt
Filed under: Gallus gallus (chicken)
Lineage: Eukaryota; Metazoa; Chordata; Aves; Galliformes; Phasianidae
Source: RNAcentral
GGGUUUCCUCUUGGACCCCUAGAGUUGGUAGGACAGGGAAGGCGGCAGGGGACCGAGCAGUGGAGCUGCUGACUCCGUGGGGCUGAGUGGCUCUGGCCCUGCACCAGGGAAGGGGUUAAACUCCUCUGCUGUAAGCAGAUAAAGGAAGGAACAGAAUCCGGCUGGCCUGGUCUGCACUCCAUACCGAGGUUUCUGUGCUGACUUCUGCUCUUUCAAGUGACUGAUUGAAAAGAAAGAGAUGAAGCAAUAUGAAUCCCUGAGCAUCAGCUCAUCACUGACCCCGAGGAAACGGUCUGAGGUGGAAACAGUAAGGACAGCAAAGGUUUACGAGCGUGAAUGAAAAUGCCGUUCAGCUUUGAGAUCCAUGCACUCUCACAGGAAGUUUAUAAAACAGAAAAACAACCCUGACUUCUGGUUUGGUUCAACGAGGCUUCUGAGUGUACCAGGCACUGUGUGGCCUACCUUUCACUGAG